GACGAACGCUGGCGGCGUGCUUAACACAUGCAAGUCGAACGGAAAGGCCCUGCUUUUGUGGGGUGCUCGAGUGGCGAACGGGUGAGUAACACGUGAGUAACCUGCCCUUGACUUUGGGAUAACUUCAGGAAACUGGGGCUAAUACCGGAUAGGAGCUCCUGCUGCAUGGUGGGGGUUGGAAAGUUUCGGCGGUUGGGGAUGGACUCGCGGCUUAUCAGCUUGUUGGUGGGGUAGUGGCUUACCAAGGCUUUGACGGGUAGCCGGCCUGAGAGGGUGACCGGCCACAUUGGGACUGAGAUACGGCCCAGACUCCUACGGGAGGCAGCAGUGGAGAAUAUUGCACAAUGGGCGGAAGCUUGAUGCAGCAACGCCGCGUGCGGGAUGACGGCCUUCGGGUUGUAAACCGCUUUCGCCUGUGACGAAGCGUGAGUGACGGUAAUGGGUAAAGAAGCACCGGCUAACUACGUG
This 468-nucleotide ribosomal RNA is filed under the name uncultured bacterium. RNAcentral's name for it is "partial 16S ribosomal RNA". It matches the Rfam family "Bacterial small subunit ribosomal RNA", at positions 28 to 507 of the family's 1533-position model. The record is from RNAcentral.